This 116-nucleotide ribosomal RNA is filed under the name Pteropus alecto (black flying fox). Lineage: Eukaryota; Metazoa; Chordata; Mammalia; Chiroptera; Pteropodidae. The record is from RNAcentral.
GUCUAUGGCCAUGCCAGCCUGAACAAGCCUGAUCCCGUCUGAUCUUGGAAGCUAAGCAGGGUCGGGCCUGGUUAGCACUUGGAUGGGAGAUCUAGGAAGACCAGGUGCUGUAGGUG